UACAGAGGGUGCGAGCGUUAAUCGGAAUUACUGGGCGUAAAGCGUGCGUAGACGGCUAUCUAAGUCGGGUGUGAAAGCCCCGGGCUCAACCUGGGAAUUGCAUUCGAGACUGAAUAGCUAGGGUACGGUAGAGGGAAGCGGAAUUUCCGGUGUAGCGGUGAAAUGCGUAGAGAUCGGGAGGAACACCAGAGGCGAAAGCGGCGACCUGGACAGGUACUGACACUCAACUACGAAAGCGUGGGGAGCAAACAGG
RNAcentral lists this ribosomal RNA (253 nucleotides) under uncultured bacterium. Its description in RNAcentral is "partial 16S ribosomal RNA". It matches the Rfam family "Bacterial small subunit ribosomal RNA", at positions 524 to 776 of the family's 1533-position model. The record is from RNAcentral.